GAUGAACGCUGACAGAAUGCUUAACACAUGCAAGUCUACUUGAAGCUAACUUCGGUUAGUGGAGGGUGGCGGACGGGUGAGUAACGCGUAAAGAACUUGCCUCACAGAUUGGGACAACAUCUGGAAACGGAUGCUAAUACCGGAUAUUAUGAUUCUUCUGCAUGGAAGGAACAUGAAAGCUAUAUGCGCUGUGAGAGAGCUUUGCGUCCCAUUAGCUAGUUGGAGAGGUAACGGCUCACCAAGGCGAUGAUGGGUAGCCGGCCUGAGAGGGUGAACGGCCACAAGGGGACUGAGACACGGCCCUUACUCCUACGGGAGGCAGCAGUGGGGAAUAUUGGACAAUGGGCCAAAAGUCUGAUCCAGCAAUUCUGUGUGCACGAUGAAGUUUUUCGGAAUGUAAAGUGCUUUCAGUUGGGAAGAAGCAAGUGACGGUACCAACAGAAGAAGCGACGGCUAAAUACGUGCCAGCAGCCGCGGUAAUACGUAUGUCGCAAGCGUUAUCCGGAUUUAUUGGGCGUAAAGCGCGUCUAGGCGGCUAGAUAAGUCUGAUGUGAAAAUGCGGGGCUCAACUCCGUAUUGCGUUGGAAACUGUAUAGCUAGAGUACUGGAGAGGUAAGCGGAACUACAAGUGUAGAGGUGAAAUUCGUAGAUAUUUGUAGGAAUGCCGAUGGGGAAGCCAGCUUACUGGACAGAUACUGACGCUAAAGCGCGAAAGCAUGGGUAGCAAGCAGG
Molecule: ribosomal RNA, 732 nt
Filed under: uncultured bacterium
Lineage: Bacteria
Description: bacterial SSU rRNA
Rfam family: Bacterial small subunit ribosomal RNA
Source: RNAcentral